GUAGGGUGAAGCGUUGUCCGGAAUUACUGGGCGUAAAGAGUUCGUAGGCGGUUUGUCGCGUCGUUUGUGAAAACCAGCAGCUAAACUGCUGGCUUGAGGCGAUACGGGCAGACUUGAGUACUGCAGGGGAGACUGGAACUCCUGGUGUAGCGGCGAAAUGCGCAGAUAUCAGGAGGAACACCGGUGGCGAAGGCGGGUCUCUGGGCAGUAACUGACGCUGAGGAACGAAAGCGUGGGUAGCGAACAGGAUUAGAUACCCUGGUAGUCCACGCCGUAAACGGUGGACGCUAGGUGUGGGUUCCUUCCACGGAAUCCGUGCCGUAGCUAACGCAUUAAGCGCCCCGCCUGGGGAGU
Molecule: ribosomal RNA, 354 nt
Filed under: uncultured bacterium
Lineage: Bacteria
Description: bacterial SSU rRNA
Rfam family: Bacterial small subunit ribosomal RNA
Source: RNAcentral